UCCGCAGUAGUUCAGUGGUAGAACACUCGGCUGUUAACCGAGAUGUCGUAAGUUCGAGCCUUACCUGCGGAGCCA
Molecule: transfer RNA, 75 nt
Filed under: Xanthomarina gelatinilytica
Lineage: Bacteria; Pseudomonadati; Bacteroidota; Flavobacteriia; Flavobacteriales; Flavobacteriaceae
Description: tRNA-Asn
Rfam family: tRNA
About the family: Transfer RNA (tRNA) molecules are approximately 80 nucleotides in length.
Source: RNAcentral